RNAcentral lists this transfer RNA (87 nucleotides) under Apiotrichum porosum. Its description in RNAcentral is "Trichosporon porosum tRNA". It matches the Rfam family "tRNA". Rfam says of the family: Transfer RNA (tRNA) molecules are approximately 80 nucleotides in length. Their secondary structure includes four short double-helical elements and three loops (D, anti-codon, and T loops). The record is from Rfam by way of RNAcentral. Lineage: Eukaryota; Fungi; Basidiomycota; Tremellomycetes; Trichosporonales; Trichosporonaceae.
GGGCGUGUAGCUCAGUUGGUAGAGCGUGUCAUUAGCAUCCUCCUAUCUACUUUGACAAGGUCUUUGGUUCGAUUCCUAACUCGUCCA